Molecule: ribosomal RNA, 675 nt
Filed under: uncultured cyanobacterium
Lineage: Bacteria; Bacillati; Cyanobacteriota
Description: bacterial SSU rRNA
Rfam family: Bacterial small subunit ribosomal RNA
Source: RNAcentral
GAAUUCGCCCUUGGGGAAUUUUCCGCAAUGGGCGAAAGCCUGACGGAGCAAUACCGCGUGAGGGAGGAAGGCUCUUGGGUUGUAAACCUCUUUUCUCAGGGAAGAAAAAAAUGACGGUACCUGAGGAAUAAGCAUCGGCUAACUCCGUGCCAGCAGCCGCGGUAAUACGGAGGAUGCAAGCGUUAUCCGGAAUGAUUGGGCGUAAAGGGUCCGCAGGUGGCAUUGUAAGUCUGCUGUUAAAGAGUUUGGCUCAACCAAAUAAGAGCAGUGGAAACUACAAAGCUAGAGUGUGGUCGGGGCAGAGGGAAUUCCUGGUGUAGCGGUGAAAUGCGUAGAUAUCAGGAAGAACACCAGUGGCGAAGGCGCUCUGCUAGGCCGAGACUGACACUGAGGGACGAAAGCUAGGGGAGCGAAUGGGAUUAGAUACCCCAGUAGUCCUAGCCGUAAACGAUGGAUACUAGGCGUAGCCCGUAUCGAACCGAGCUGUGCCGGAGCUAACGCGUUAAGUAUCCCGCCUGGGGAGUACGCAGGCAACUGUGAAACUCAAAGGAAUUGACGGGGGCCCGCACAAGCGGUGGAGUAUGUGGUUUAAUUCGAUGCAACGCGAAGAACCUUACCAAGGCUUGACAUGUCACGAAUCCUGUGGAAACAUAGGAGUGCCUUAGGGAGCGUGAA